This 497-nucleotide ribosomal RNA is filed under the name uncultured bacterium. RNAcentral's name for it is "partial 16S ribosomal RNA". It matches the Rfam family "Bacterial small subunit ribosomal RNA", at positions 28 to 507 of the family's 1533-position model. The record is from RNAcentral.
GAUGAACGCUGGCGGCGUGCCUAAUACAUGCAAGUCGAGCGAACGGACGAGAAUCUUGCUGCUCUGACGUUAGCGGCGGACGGGUGAGUAACACGUGUAUAACCUACUUAUAAGACUGGGAUCACCUCGGGAAACCGGAUCUAACACCGGAGAAUCUCUUGCACCGCGUGGUUCAAUAGUGAAAGACGGUCUUGCUGUCACUUAUAGAGGGUUCCGGGCUGCAUGAGCUAGUUGGUAGGGUAACGGCUUAUCAAGGGAACGAUGCGUAGGCGACCGGUGAGGGGGAUAGGCCACCCGGGAGGUGAGACACGCUCCAGAGUCCUAAGGGACGCAGCAGUCGCGAAUCUUCCGCAAUGGGCGAGAGCCUGACGGAGCAGCGCCGAGUCAGUGGUAAAGGUCUUCCGAUCGUAAAGCUCUGUUAUUAGGGAAAAACAUCUGUGUACGUAAAUGAGCAGAUCGUGACGGUAACUAAUCAGAAAGCAACGGCUAACUACGUG